This 392-nucleotide ribosomal RNA is filed under the name uncultured bacterium. RNAcentral describes it as "partial 16S ribosomal RNA". It matches the Rfam family "Bacterial small subunit ribosomal RNA", at positions 523 to 918 of the family's 1533-position model. The record is from RNAcentral.
AUACGGAGGAUCCGAGCGUUAUCCGGAUUUAUUGGGUUUAAAGGGUGCGCAGGCGGCCAUUUAAGUCAGCGGUUAAAUCGUGGGGCUCAACCCCAUUCUGCCGUUGAUACUGGGUGGCUUGAUUGCGGUCGAGGUUGGCGGAAUUCGUUGUGUAGCGGUGGAAUGCAUAGAUAUGACGAAGAACACCGAUUGCGUAGGCAGCUGACCAGAUCGCAAAUGACGCUCAUGCACGAAAGUGCGGGGAUCGAACAGGAUUAGAUACCCUGGUAGUCCGCACAGUAAACGAUGAAUACUUGUUUUCGGCGAUAUAAUGUCGGAGGCAAAGCGAAAGCGAUAAGUAUUCCACCUGGGGAGUACGCCGGCAACGGUGAAACUUAAAGGAAUUGACGGGG